Molecule: long non-coding RNA, 550 nt
Organism: Lutra lutra (Eurasian river otter)
Lineage: Eukaryota; Metazoa; Chordata; Mammalia; Carnivora; Mustelidae
Exons: 3
Source: RefSeq, a predicted model, not a curated record
GCUGAGGCUACUAAAGAAGGAAGCCGUGGGCGGGGAAGAGGCAAGUAGUGGAAUGGGGUCUGCGGGCCAUCCUCUGAGCCCUGCCCCAGCCAGCCCUUCUGCGGACUCUCCAGUUGUAUUGUCUAGAAACUCCUAAAGAAGUAAGCAGAGCCUUGAAGCAACACUGCAGAAGAAUGACCAUGUCAUCGUUCCCAAUGAGAGUCUGUAACAAGAUGGAGUGUGUGAAGGCCCAGACAUGGGUCUGGGUCACAGGCCGGCAAGUCUCAGGAGUGUCUCAAAAUCAGACUAUGAAUAAACGCUCAAAUACAGUUUGAAUCAGCAGAGUCUGCUGUGUCACCGAGGACGAGCGCACUUCCAGUGGCCAUCCAAUAACCCGUGCUGGCUGCUGUUUUCCAUGAGACAGACGGGACACCCUGAAGACACUAGUGGAACUUCACUCAUUCGUCAGUGAUGCGACCGACUCCUUUGCUGAAUCAAAUAACAGUUUUCUAAUACUGCAAGAGUAUUUUGUUGAUUCUUUUGUACUAUUCACAAUAUAAGUGUUAUAUAC